Molecule: transfer RNA, 72 nt
Organism: Camelus ferus (Wild Bactrian camel)
Lineage: Eukaryota; Metazoa; Chordata; Mammalia; Artiodactyla; Camelidae
Rfam family: tRNA
About the family: Transfer RNA (tRNA) molecules are approximately 80 nucleotides in length. Their secondary structure includes four short double-helical elements and three loops (D, anti-codon, and T loops). Further hydrogen bonds mediate the characteristic L-shaped molecular structure. tRNAs have two regions of fundamental functional importance: the anti-codon, which is responsible for specific mRNA codon recognition, and the 3' end, to which the tRNAs corresponding amino acid is attached (by aminoacyl-tRNA synthetases). tRNAs cope with the degeneracy of the genetic code in two manners: having more than one tRNA (with a specific anti-codon) for a particular amino acid; and 'wobble' base-pairing, i.e. permitting non-standard base-pairing at the 3rd anti-codon position.
Source: Rfam
GAAGGUAUAGCUCAGUGGUAGAGCACAUGCUUAGCAUGCAUGAGGUCCUGGGUUCAAUCCCCAGUACCUCCA